Molecule: ribosomal RNA, 542 nt
Filed under: uncultured archaeon
Lineage: Archaea
Description: bacterial SSU rRNA
Rfam family: Archaeal small subunit ribosomal RNA
Source: RNAcentral
GGGAGCCCCGAGAUGGGUACUGAGACAACGACCCAGGCCUUACGAGGCGCAGCAGGCGCGAAACCUCCGCAAUACACGAAAGUGUGACGGGGUUACCCAAAGUGUUCAUUUAUGAACUGUGGCAGGUGGGUAAUGUCCCCUGCUAGAAAGGAGAGGGCAAGGCUGGUGCCAGCCGCCGCGGUAAAACCAGCUCUUCAAGUGGUCGGGAUAAUUAUUGGGCUUAAAGUGUCCGUAGCUGGUUUGGUAAGUUCCUGGUAAAAUCGGAUAGCUUAACUAUCUGCAUGCUAGGAAUACUACCAUACUAGAGGGCGGGAGAGGUCUGAGGUACUACAGGGGUAGGGGUGAAAUCUUAUAAUCCUUGUAGGACCACCAGUGGCGAAGGCGUCAGACUGGAACGCGCCUGACGGUGAGGGACGAAAGCCAGGGGAGCGAACCGGAUUAGAUACCCGGGUAGUCCUGGCCGUAAACGAUGCAUACUAGGUGAUGGUACGGCCAUGAGCCGUAUCAGUGCCGUAGGGAAACCGUUAAGUGUGCCGCCUGGG